Molecule: non-coding RNA, 139 nt
Organism: Pteropus alecto (black flying fox)
Lineage: Eukaryota; Metazoa; Chordata; Mammalia; Chiroptera; Pteropodidae
Source: Rfam
AUCUACAGCCAUGCCACCCUGAAAAAGCCCACGUCACCCUGAACAAGCCCGAUCCCAUCUAAUCUCAGAAGCUAAGCAGGGUCGGGCCUGGUUAGUACUUGGAUGGGAGACUACCUAGGAAGACCAAGUGCUGUAGGUG